Non-coding RNA from Acanthosepion pharaonis, 112 nucleotides. The record is from the annotation of a GenBank genome assembly. Lineage: Eukaryota; Metazoa; Mollusca; Cephalopoda; Sepiida; Sepiidae.
AUGGUCACAUCAUAUUGAGACACUAGUUUCUGUAUGAUCACUGAAGUUAAGCAACGUUGAGCUUAGUCAGUACUUAGAUGGGUGGCAGCUUAGGAAUAACAGGUGUUGUAAG